GGAUCGGUAGCUCAGUUGGUAGAGCACAGGACUCUUAAUCCUUAGGUCGUGGGUUCGAGCCCCACCCGGUCCACCA
This 76-nucleotide transfer RNA is filed under the name Candidatus Altimarinota bacterium. RNAcentral's name for it is "tRNA-Lys". It matches the Rfam family "tRNA". Rfam says of the family: Transfer RNA (tRNA) molecules are approximately 80 nucleotides in length. The record is from RNAcentral. Lineage: Bacteria; Candidatus Altimarinota.